CAAUAGCGUAUAUUUAAGUUGUUGCAGUUAAAAAGCUCGUAGUUGGAUUUCGGGUGGGACGCAGCGGUCUCGCAUUGCGUUUGUACUGCUGCAGCCCUCCUUCUUGCCGGGGGCGGCCUCUCGGACUUCACUGUCUGGGGGUCAGAAUCGGCGAUGUUACUUUGAGUAAAUUAGAGUGUUCAAAGCAAGCUUACGCUCUGAAUAUAAUAGCAUGGGAUAACACGACAGGACUCUGGCCUAUCGUGUUGUUCUAUAGGACCAGAGUAAUGAUUAAGAGGGACAGUCGGGGGCAUUCGUAUUCCGUUGUCAGAGGUGAAAUUCUUGGAUUUACGGAAGACGAACAUCUGCGAAAGCAUUUGCCAAGGAUGUUUUCAUUGA
This 378-nucleotide ribosomal RNA is filed under the name uncultured eukaryote. RNAcentral describes it as "partial 18S ribosomal RNA". It matches the Rfam family "Eukaryotic small subunit ribosomal RNA", at positions 592 to 976 of the family's 1831-position model. The record is from RNAcentral.